RNAcentral lists this ribosomal RNA (1468 nucleotides) under metagenome. Its description in RNAcentral is "bacterial SSU rRNA". It matches the Rfam family "Bacterial small subunit ribosomal RNA". The record is from RNAcentral.
AGAGUUUGAUCCUGGCUCAGGAUAAACGUUGGCGGUGUGCUUUAUGCAUGCAAGUCGUACGAGGCUAUAGUUUUCGGAUUAUAGUUUAGUGGCAAAUGGCUGAGUAAUACAUAGGUAACCUGCCUGUGAGUGGUGGAUAACUUGCUGAAAGGCAAGCUAAUACAGCAUGUGGUGAACAAGGAUUUCUUGUUUAUCAAAGCCUUCGGGCGCUCGCAGAGGGGCCUAUGCCUGAUUAGCUAGUUGGUGAGGUAACGGCUCACCAAGGCUUUGAUCAGUAGCUGGUCUGAGAGGAUGGUCAGCCAGAUGGGGACUGAGAUACGGCCCCAACUCCUACGGGAGGCAGCAGCAUGAAUAUUGGGCAAUGGGCGAAAGCCUGACCCAGCGACACCGCGUGAGGGAUUAAGGCCUUCGGGUUGUAAACCUCUUUUCUCGAGGAAGAAGCUCUGACGGUACUCGAGGAAUAAGCCACGGCUAACUACGUGCCAGCAGCCGCGGUAAUACGUAGGUGGCAAACGUUGUCCGGAUUUAUUGGGCGUAAAGAGAGUGUAGGCGGCUUAUUAAGUCAAGUGUUAAAUCUUCUGACUCAAUCAGGAGCUGCAUUUGAUACUGGUAGGCUUGAGUGCAGCAGAGGAAAACGGAAUUCCCAGUGUAGCGGUGAAAUGCGUUGAUAUUGGGAAGAACACCAGAGGCGAAGGCGGUUUUCCAGGCUGUCUGACGCUGAGACUCGAAAGCGUGGGGAGCGAAGCGGAUUAGAUACCCGCGUAGUCCACGCCUUAAACGGUGGACAUUAGGUAUGGGAAGUAUCGACCCUUUCUGUGCCGUAGCUAACGCUUUAAAUGUCCCGCCUGGGGAGUACGGUCGCAAGGCUAAAACUCAAAGGAAUUGACGGGGGUCCGCACAAGCAGCGGAGCGUGUGGUUUAAUUCGAUGAUACACGAAGAACCUUACCAGGGUUUGACAUGUCAGAAGUAGGAAGCCAAAAGGUUUACGACCUGUAUCCAAUCAGGAACUGUCACAGGUGCUGCAUGGCUGUCGUCAGCUCGUGCCGUGAGGUGUUGGGUUAAGUCCCGCAACGAGCGCAACCCUUGUUCUAUGUUAAUUUCUCAUAGAAGACUGCCUUGUACAGCAAGGAGGAAGAGGAGGAUGACGUCAAGUCAGCAUGGCCUUUAUGCCCUGGGCUACACGCACGCUACAAUGGGUAAUACAGAGGGUUGCCAAAGAGCGAUCUGGAGCUAAUCCCUUAAAAUUAUCCUCAGUUCAGAUUGUAGGCUGAAACCGCCUGCAUGAAGUCGGAGUUGCUAGUAAUCGCAGGUCAGCUAUACUGCGGUGAAUACGUUCUCGGACCUUGUACACACCGCCCGUCACGUCGUGGAAGUUGGAAACACCUGAAGUCAAUGUGUUAACUUGCUUAGGUAAGAAAUAGUUGUUGAAGGUGGAGCUGAUAACUGUGGCGAAGUCGUAACAAGGCA